CACAAGUCAAAAAUUUUUAUUAUUUAUGAGUAGCAAGUCCCCAAAAUUCUAUACAUCCAUAAUUUUACCUCUAUAAUCUUAUUUAUUUUUCCGUAAUAAAGAACUUAAUUCGUAGCAAAAAAAAUUAUCAAUAUCACAGCUUUCCUUUUCAGUGAUCAACCUUUUGCUUUUUCUUGGGUCGAUUUUUUGUCAGGGCUUCUUUGACUUUCGCAGAGAGAUUUUGAAGUAUAUCAAUUUCCCCUUCAAUUAAUGUCUUUGCAUUUUCCUCAUCAAAAUUCUUUGGAUCUGAAAUCUUCGGAUACAUAUUUAUCCGCUUUUCAAUAAUCUUGAGUAGUUUUCUAUAAUGCUUUGGUUUUAUGUCUGAUUUCGAAGGAACAGAUAUUAAUUCCUUUUCUUUUUCCAUCAACACAAAGGCCAAACAAAUUUCUUUGAACGUCAAAUCCGCUUUUGAAAAUGUAAAAUCACUAGAAAACGUUAGGUAUAAAAAGCUCAUCAUUGAAUUGAUCAUAACUUACCCCUCCAAAUUGUAAAGUAACUCUUCACGACAUAAUAAUUCAAGACGUGCUUCUACUUCUUCAAAUCCAAGCUUUUCAAUGUACUCAGGAAGCCAGUGCUCUUUUUUAAUCAAAACAAAGUCAUGUGGAGUACCUUUCUUCUUAGUAAAUCCAUAUUUCCUAAAUAACUCUGAAUUAUCUAAUUCCCCAUAAGUAUUCCACAAUUGCUCUCCUUUUUUGAUAUCCCGAGUAGCAAUCAUCGUAAGUGUUCCAUUGAUAUCGUAGAGACGAAUCUAAAGCAUAGUUAGUAUACAUCUUUGGCUUCAAUUAAUAACUCAUUGAGGUUCGAAAGUUCUUACGUUACAAAGUUCAUCGUCACCAUUAAACAUAUCAGAUAUAGGACACAUUGCCUUUUCAAGUUCAUCAGGGUCGACCUCAGAUUCGAGAUCAGAAAAUUCGUCUUCUGAAUUUACUUCACAGUUGUUACCCACAAGACUUUGUGAAUGCAAUUUUUCGUCAUCUUGAUUAGCCGAACCUUCAUUCUUCUUAGCAGCAUCUCCAUUUUUGUCCUCCUUUAUCGAAGUUUCAGCAGCAGACUUUUCAUUUUCAUUCGAAAUUGGCGAUUUCGUUUUUUCAAUGUCGAAGCUAUAUGCAAGCAUUACAGCACUCAUUCGCAAGAAGUCCUCAUAGCUCACUUGUGAAAACCGAUUUGGGUAUAACUUAAUUAUGGGUUCAAUUCUGUCGAUCCAUAAUUGUGUAAUUUCAUUACAAUCCUCAUUGGAUUCUAAUACGGUACCUCUCAGAAGGGCAUCUUUUUUGUUUUCAUCCCAGUAAAAGGGUGAAGUAAUUCUUUCUUUGGUUGGGAAGAUCGACAAGUAAGGUCUCCAAAACGAGUUAGGACUUGCAUUUUCAGUUGCCAUUACUAACAAAAGGGCAGCCCAACUGGGUAAACUUUGAACUUCGGGAAGUUGUGCCAAGUCCGAAUUUGUCAAGCACAAAACACUAUCCUUCUUGAAACUGACUAAUUUUUCAUCUUCCUUCAAGUAUUGUUAGAUUUCAUAUACUGUCAGUUUUGGAUUGCUUACCUUAAUGUCCUCUAAGGCGAUGAAUCCAAUCCCCAGUGACUCAUGUACGUGACGGUAAUCGUUGAGUCCAAUUUUUUCAGAAGUAGUAUAAUUAUCCUUUUCGAUUGCCCAUUUUAACAUAGAUUCCGCUUGCUUCAACAUCACUGCCCCUCUAUGUUGGUCACUAACACUUUUGUACACAGAAGAAACAAAUUCCUUAGGUCUGCCCCUAACCUCCUUUUUGAAUAGCCUGAAAUGACCGAGUUGUCGUUAAUUCAGAUAGUAGUAUUCAAUUGGGUUCUUAAUCAAUGUUAAAAGAUUUAUAAGUGUAACUGAUGUAUAAAUUUCAAUUUGUGAAAUAGGCAUACCAAGAAUUGGAAAAAAAAGUAGCUUAGUAUUACGAAUUUGAAUGGCUAAGAUACAUCAGUUAAUGCUUGGCUUACGAUCACUAAAAGAGCAAAAAAGUCUAAGAAUUUGCUGUACGUGCAUAUUCCUUUCAUAAAAAGUGGAAAUUCAAGAUGGUUUUAGUAGAAUACUUUAGUAACGGGAA
Molecule: non-coding RNA, 2108 nt
Organism: Schizosaccharomyces pombe (fission yeast)
Lineage: Eukaryota; Fungi; Ascomycota; Schizosaccharomycetes; Schizosaccharomycetales; Schizosaccharomycetaceae
Source: the annotation of a GenBank genome assembly